CCUACGGGAGGCAGCAGUGGGGAAUAUUGCACAAUGGGGGAAACCCUGAUGCAGCGACGCCGCGUGAGUGAAGAAGUAAUUCGUUAUGUAAAGCUCUAUCAGCAGGGAAGAAAAUGACGGUCCCUGAGUAAGAAGCCCCGGCUAACUACGUGCCAGCAGCCGCGGUACUACGUAGGGGGCAAGCGUUAUCCGGAUUUACUGGGUGUAAAGGGAGCGUAGACGGCAGUGCAAGUCUGGAGUGAAAGGCGGGGGCUCAACCCCCGGACUGCUCUUGAAACUGUACGGCUGGAGUGCAGGAGAGGUAAGUGGAAUUCCUAGUGUAGCGGUGAAAUGCGUAGAUAUUAGGAGGAACACCAGUGGCGAAGGCGGCUUACUGGACUGUAACUGACGUUGAGGCUCGAAAGCGUGGGGAGCAAACAGGAUUAGAUACCCCAGUAGUC
Molecule: ribosomal RNA, 440 nt
Filed under: uncultured bacterium
Lineage: Bacteria
Description: partial 16S ribosomal RNA
Rfam family: Bacterial small subunit ribosomal RNA
Source: RNAcentral